RNAcentral lists this ribosomal RNA (1366 nucleotides) under uncultured bacterium. Its description in RNAcentral is "bacterial SSU rRNA". It matches the Rfam family "Bacterial small subunit ribosomal RNA". The record is from RNAcentral.
AGAGUUUGAUCCUGGCUCAGGAUGAACGCUGGCGGCGUGCCUAACACAUGCAAGUCGAACGAUUAAGCCGGCUUCGGCCGGGCAUAGAGUGGCGAACGGGUGAGUAACACGUGACCAACCUGCCCCUUGCUCCGGGACAACCGCUGGAAACGGCGGCUAAUAUCGGAUACUCCGCGGCCCCCGCAUGGGGGCGGCGGGAAAGCCCCGACGGCGCGGGAUGGGGUCGCGGCCCAUUAGGUAGUUGGUGAGGUAACGGCCCACCAAGCCGACGAUCGGUAGCCGGACUGAGAGGUUGAACGGCCACAUUGGGACUGAGAUACGGCCCAGACUCCUACGGGAGGCAGCAGUGGGGAAUUUUGCGCAAUGGGGGAAACCCUGACGCAGCAACGCCGCGUGCGGGACGAAGGCCCUCGGGUUGUAAACCGCUUUCAGCAGGGAAGAUCCAAGACGGUACCUGCAGAAGAAGCUCCGGCUAACUACGUGCCAGCAGCCGCGGUAAUACGUAGGGGGCGAGCGUUAUCCGGAUUCAUUGGGCGUAAAGCGCGCGUAGGCGGCCGCCUAAGCGGGACCUCUAACCCCGGGGCUCAACCCCGGGCCGGGUCCCGGACUGGGCGGCUCGAGUGCGGUAGAGGAGAGCGGAAUUCCCGGUGUAGCGGUGGAAUGCGCAGAUAUCGGGAAGAACACCGAUGGCGAAGGCAGCUCUCUGGGCCGUCACUGACGCUGAGGCGCGAAAGCUGGGGGAGCGAACAGGAUUAGAUACCCUGGUAGUCCCAGCCGUAAACGAUGGGCGCUAGGUGUGGGGGGACGAUCCCUCCGUGCCGCAGCCAACGCAUUAAGCGCCCCGCCUGGGGAGUACGGCCGCAAGGCUAAAACUCAAAGGAAUUGACGGGGGCCCGCACAAGCAGCGGAGCAUGUGGCUUAAUUCGAAGCAACGCGAAGAACCUUACCAGGGCUUGACAUGCCGAUGAAGCCGGGGAGACCCGGUGGCCGAGAGGAGUCGGCGCAGGUGGUGCAUGGCUGUCGUCAGCUCGUGUCGUGAGAUGUUGGGUUAAGUCCCGCAACGAGCGCAACCCCCGCCCCGUGUUGCCAGCAUUCAGUUGGGGACUCGCGGGGGACUGCCGGCGUCAAGCCGGAGGAAGGUGGGGACGACGUCAAGUCAUCAUGCCCCUUAUGCCCUGGGCUGCACACGUGCUACAAUGGCCGGUACAGAGGGUUGCCACCCCGCGAGGGGGAGCGGAUCCCGGAAAGCCGGUCCCAGUUCGGAUCGCAGGCUGCAACCCGCCUGCGUGAAGCCGGAGUUGCUAGUAAUCGCGGAUCAGCACGCCGCGAUGAAUACGUUCCCGGGCCUUGCACUCAACGCCCGUCA